Pelobates cultripes (western spadefoot toad) is the source of this 1217-nucleotide non-coding RNA. The record is from the annotation of a GenBank genome assembly. NCBI's taxonomy places the organism in Eukaryota, Metazoa, Chordata, Amphibia, Anura, Pelobatidae.
GAGCGUCUCAGUAGAACCUACAACAUCCCACACACCUCACAAUACUCAUACAUCCAACUUAAAUCCUUCCUGCACAAACUCAACAAGGACAACAAAGUAGAAUCAAAUAAAAUGGGAGACCCCUCCACCUGGGAACAAAUAGGUAUCACGGGUAAAAUUCCUCCACUUUAUAAGCCACUCUCAAAUUGCUAUAAACUAAUUCUGCCAUACCAGUCCCUACCGGGCUCCACACAGGCAAACCAAUGGGAAAUGGACCUUCAAACCUCCAUCACUGACAAUCAGUGGAAAACUCUCACAUCCUCCGUUAGAAAGCUGGUCAAAUCUGCCUCCCUCAUGGAGCAAUACCAGAAAACAAUAUACAGGUGGUAUAUGGUGCCGCUUCGCCUACAUAAACUGUAUCCUCACUCAUCUCCGAUGUGCUGGAGAUGCAAACAAGAGGCGGGGUCAGUCCUUCACAUAUGGUGGCGUUGCCCACGAUUAUUUAGGUACUGGGGAGAUGUCCAAAAACUAAUUGCUGACAUCACAAAAAUCAAAAUACCUUUUGAACCCAGGCCCUUUUUGUUACUGGAUGUCCCUAGGGAAGUACCCAAACAGUCGAGAAAACUAAUAUACCAUAUACUGCUGACCGCACAAAAACUAAUAGCCAGAUCCUGGAAAACAAAUGAGGCCCCCCAUAUCCCAAACCUUAUUCAGGAUAUAGAUAACCAGGCAAUCUAUGAAACCAGUUUUUCCGGGACGCGCUCUGGCUCAAGCAGCCUUGGAGGGGCUUGGGACCAAUGGCGCACCUGGAGAAAGGCCAACCUCAACGCCUAAUAUAGUAGGACGCUGUAACGACCCAAGAGCAAACCGCAGGACUAGGACAGUCAGGCAGUAAGGAACUAAGAGACAGACAGAAUAGCAUAAAUCGUGGCUGGAAUAGUGGCUAGCUGGGCGACCACCAUAGAGAGGUCCCCGAUUGUGGUGUAACUAUUGUGUAACUAUUGUGUAAAUUGUGUAACUAUUGUAUGACUGACGUACCUAUUGUGUAAAAAUGAACUAAUAUACGCAACUGUAAGCAAUGUAACUGCGUAAGAACUGUAAUUGUGUAAAUAAUGUAAGGGCAUACCCAUCGCUCAACAUGUGACUCAUGGUAUCGUGACUGUCCCCUCCUCCCCCCCAUCCCUCCUCCUUCUUUUUUCUGUACCCUCUCCCCUUCCCCCCGCCCAUUUACACUUGUG